RNAcentral lists this ribosomal RNA (119 nucleotides) under Clostridium beijerinckii. Lineage: Bacteria; Bacillati; Bacillota; Clostridia; Eubacteriales; Clostridiaceae. The record is from RNAcentral.
UCUCGUGAUGAUGGCAUAGAGGUAACACUCCUUCCCAUUCCGAACAGGAAAGUUAAAGGUCUAUAACGCCGAUGGUACUGCAUGGGAGACUGUGUGGCCAGAGUAGGACGUUGCGAGGU